GGGUGGUAAUGCCGGAUGCUCCAGUUGGAUGCAUGUCCUUCUGGGAAAGAUUCAUCGGUAUGGGAUGGGGUCGCGUCCUAUCAGCUUGAUGGCGGGGUAACGGCCCACCAUGGCUUCGACGGGUAGCCGGCCUGAGAGGGCGACCGGCCACAUUGGGACUGAGAUACGGCCCAGACUCCUACGGGAGGCAGCAGUGGGGAAUAUUGCACAAUGGGCGCAAGCCUGAUGCAGCGACGCCGCGUGCGGGAUGACGGCCUUCGGGUUGUAAACCGCUUUUGACUGGGAGCAAGCCCUUCGGGGUGAGUGUACCUUUCGAAUAAGCACCGGCUAACUACGUGCCAGCAGCCGCGGUAAUACGUAGGGUGCAAGCGUUAUCCGGAAUUAUUGGGCGUAAAGGGCUCGUAGGCGGUUCGUCGCGUCCGGUGUGAAAGUCCAUCGCUUAACGGUGGAUCCGCGCCGGGUACGGGCGGGCUUGAGUGCGGUAGGGGAGACUGGAAUUCCCGGUGUAACGGUGGAAUGUGUAGAUAUCGGAAAAAAAAC
Molecule: ribosomal RNA, 540 nt
Filed under: Bifidobacterium adolescentis
Lineage: Bacteria; Bacillati; Actinomycetota; Actinomycetes; Bifidobacteriales; Bifidobacteriaceae
Description: bacterial SSU rRNA
Rfam family: Bacterial small subunit ribosomal RNA
Source: RNAcentral